Ochlerotatus camptorhynchus is the source of this 234-nucleotide long non-coding RNA. RefSeq lists it as uncharacterized. The transcript is spliced from 2 exons. Lineage: Eukaryota; Metazoa; Arthropoda; Insecta; Diptera; Culicidae. The record is from RefSeq and is a predicted model, not a curated record.
UGAAACAAGUGAAUAUAAUGAAAAAAAAAAAGUUGUAUCUCCUACGAUUACCUAAACAAACAAACAAACAAAACACUGUUGUAAAAAAAAAGCGAAUUUUCACAACCAAUACACACAGACAUAGGAACAGCAGAAUGAAUGUUCGAUCAACAGAGUAAACGGAAAGUUCGGACUAUCCACAGCGGACCAGAAAAUUGAGCCAACUCUAGGAAGUAGUACUAGCUUACGACGAUA